CAGUCGCCACGGUAAUACGAAGGGUGCAAGCGUUAAUCGGAAUCACUGGGCGUAAAGCGUGCGUAGGCGGUUUGUUAAGUCUGUUGUGAAAUCCCCGGGCUCAACCUGGGAAUGGCAAUGGAUACUGGCAAGCUAGAGUGUGUCAGAGGAUGGUGGAAUUCCCGGUGUAGCGGUGAAAUGCGUAGAGAUCGGGAGGAACAUCAGUGGCGAAGGCGGCAACCUGGCUCAUUACUGACGCUGAGGCGCGAAAGCGUGGGGAGCAAACAGGAUUAGAUACCCCUGUAGUCCCUGUCUCUUAUAC
RNAcentral lists this ribosomal RNA (301 nucleotides) under uncultured bacterium. Its description in RNAcentral is "partial 16S ribosomal RNA". It matches the Rfam family "Bacterial small subunit ribosomal RNA", at positions 509 to 807 of the family's 1533-position model. The record is from RNAcentral.